This 303-nucleotide signal recognition particle RNA is filed under the name Triticum aestivum (bread wheat). RNAcentral's name for it is "SRP RNA Plant_SRP". It matches the Rfam family "Plant signal recognition particle RNA". The record is from Rfam by way of RNAcentral. RNAcentral also lists the same sequence under 1 other name. Lineage: Eukaryota; Viridiplantae; Streptophyta; Magnoliopsida; Poales; Poaceae.
GCCGAGCUCAGUUGCGCGAGCUUGUAACCCGAGUGGGGGCAUUAAAGUGAUGAGGACGUUGCCAUAGCGCUGCGGGCUUGGUUUAGUUGUGCUAUUGCUGGCCCGCCCGUUUCAAAUUGCGUAGUGAAUUGUUGGGGCCUAUGCGAAAGCUGAGCCUCAUUGUCCAUAAUGUGGCAGGCAAAGAGUGAGACUGGCUUCACAAAGCAGCGACAACUGACCGCUUCCAACGGUGGAAGGAUAACGGGCUGCUGCACUACUUAGCCGCUUGGGCCUCGCAGCCUACUUCAACGAACCAUCAUUUUU